UAUAACCGGCGAUACCCGAAUGGGGAAACCCAGUGUGACUCGUCACACUAUCAUUAACUGAAUCCAUAGGUUAAUGAGGCGAACCGGGGGAACUGAAACAUCUAAGUACCCCGAGGAAAAGAAAUCAACCGAGAUUCCCCCAGUAGCGGCGAGCGAACGGGGAGGAGCCCAGAGCCUGAAUCAGCAUGUGUGUUAGUGGAAGCGUCUGGAAAGGCGCGCGAUACAGGGUGACAGCCCCGUACACAAAAGCGCAUGUGCUGUGAGCUCGAUGAGUAGGGCGGGACACGUGGUAUCCUGUCUGAAUAUGGGGGGACCAUCCUCCAAGGCUAAAUACUCCUGACUGACCGAUAGUGAACCAGUACCGUGAGGGAAAGGCGAAAAGAACCCCGGCGAGGGGAGUGAAAAAGAACCUGAAACCGUGUACGUACAAGCAGUGGGAGCACCCUUUGGGUGUGACUGCGUACCUUUUGUAUAAUGGGUCAGCGACUUAUAUUCUGUAGCAAGGUUAACCGAAUAGGGGAGCCGGAGGGAAACCGAGUCUUAAUUGGGCGUUAAGUUGCAGGGUAUAGACCCGAAACCCGGUGAUCUAGCCAUGGGCAGGUUGAAGGUUGGGUAACACUAACUGGAGGACCGAACCGACUAAUGUUGAAAAAUUAGCGGAUGACCUGUGGCUGGGGGUGAAAGGCCAAUCAAACCGGGAGAUAGCUGGUUCUCCCCGAAAGCUAUUUAGGUAGCGCCUCGUGAAUUCAUCUCCGGGGGUAGAGCACUGUUUCGGCUAGGGGGCCAUCCCGGCUUACCAACCCGAUGCAAACUGCGAAUACCGGAGAAUGUUAUCACGGGAGACACACGGCGGGUGCUAACGUCCGUCGUGAAGAGGGAAACAACCCAGACCGCCAGCUAAGGUCCCAAAGUCAUGGUUAAGUGGGAAACGAUGUGGGAAGGCCCAGACAGCCAGGAUGUUGGCUUAGAAGCAGCCAUCAUUUAAAGAAAGCGUAAUAGCUCACUGGUCGAGUCGGCCUGCGCGGAAGAUGUAACGGGGCUAAACCAUGCACCGAAGCUGCGGCAGCGACGCUUAUGCGUUGUUGGGUAGGGGAGCGUUCUGUAAGCCUG
RNAcentral lists this ribosomal RNA (1110 nucleotides) under Salmonella enterica subsp. enterica serovar Enteritidis. RNAcentral describes it as "partial 23S ribosomal RNA". It matches the Rfam family "Bacterial large subunit ribosomal RNA", at positions 99 to 1251 of the family's 2925-position model. The record is from RNAcentral. Lineage: Bacteria; Pseudomonadati; Pseudomonadota; Gammaproteobacteria; Enterobacterales; Enterobacteriaceae.